RNAcentral lists this ribosomal RNA (793 nucleotides) under Bacillus pumilus. RNAcentral describes it as "bacterial SSU rRNA". It matches the Rfam family "Bacterial small subunit ribosomal RNA", at positions 104 to 882 of the family's 1533-position model. The record is from RNAcentral. Lineage: Bacteria; Bacillati; Bacillota; Bacilli; Caryophanales; Bacillaceae.
GGGUGAGUAACACGUGGGUAACCUGCCUGUAAGACUGGGAUAACUCCGGGAAACCGGAGCUAAUACCGGAUAGUUCCUUGAACCGCAUGGUUCAAGGAUGAAAGACGGUUUCGGCUGUCACUUACAGAUGGACCCGCGGCGCAUUAGCUAGUUGGUGGGGUAAUGGCUCACCAAGGCGACGAUGCGUAGCCGACCUGAGAGGGUGAUCGGCCACACUGGGACUGAGACACGGCCCAGACUCCUACGGGAGGCAGCAGUAGGGAAUCUUCCGCAAUGGACGAAAGUCUGACGGAGCAACGCCGCGUGAGUGAUGAAGGUUUUCGGAUCGUAAAGCUCUGUUGUUAGGGAAGAACAAGUGCGAGAGUAACUGCUCGCACCUUGACGGUACCUAACCAGAAAGCCACGGCUAACUACGUGCCAGCAGCCGCGGUAAUACGUAGGUGGCAAGCGUUGUCCGGAAUUAUUGGGCGUAAAGGGCUCGCAGGCGGUUUCUUAAGUCUGAUGUGAAAGCCCCCGGCUCAACCGGGGAGGGUCAUUGGAAACUGGGAAACUUGAGUGCAGAAGAGGAGAGUGGAAUUCCACGUGUAGCGGUGAAAUGCGUAGAGAUGUGGAGGAACACCAGUGGCGAAGGCGACUCUCUGGUCUGUAACUGACGCUGAGGAGCGAAAGCGUGGGGAGCGAACAGGAUUAGAUACCCUGGUAGUCCACGCCGUAAACGAUGAGUGCUAAGUGUUAGGGGGUUUCCGCCCCUUAGUGCUGCAGCUAACGCAUUAAGCACUCCGCCUGGGGAGUA